AACGAACGCUGGCGGCACGCCUAACACAUGCAAGUCGAACGAAGCAUAAGAGCUUGCUCUUAUGACUGAGUGGCGCACGGGUGAGUAACACGUGGGAAUCUGCCUAUUGGUGGGGAAUAACUUUUGGAAACGAAAGCUAAUACCGCAUAAGCCCUAAGGGGGAAAGAUUUAUCGCCAAUAGAUGAGCCCGCGCUAGAUUAGCUAGUUGGUGAGGUAAGAGCUCACCAAGGCUACGAUCUAUAGCUGGUCUGAGAGGAUGGUCAGCCACACUGGGACUGAGACACGGCCCAGACUCCUACGGGAGGCAGCAGUGGGGAAUAUUGGACAAUGGGGGAAACCCUGAUCCAGCGAUGCCGCGUGAGUGAAGAAGGCCUUCGGGUUGUAAAGCUCUUUCAGAGGGGAUGAUAAUGACGGUACCCUCAAAAGAAGCACCGGCUAACUUCGUGCCAGCAGCCGCAGUAA
Molecule: ribosomal RNA, 462 nt
Filed under: uncultured bacterium
Lineage: Bacteria
Description: partial 16S ribosomal RNA
Rfam family: Bacterial small subunit ribosomal RNA
Source: RNAcentral